UCACGGCCGGGUAGCCAAGUCGGGAAGGGAUAAACGCUGAAGGCAUCUAAGCGUGAAGCCCCCCUCAAGAUGAGAUAUCCCAUUCGAAAGAAGUAAGACCCCUUGAAGACGACGAGGUAGAUAGGGCAGAGGUGGAAGUGCCGUAAGGCAUGGAGCUGACUGUUACUAAUCGGUCGAGGGCUUGACCUG
RNAcentral lists this ribosomal RNA (189 nucleotides) under Fusicatenibacter saccharivorans. RNAcentral's name for it is "partial 23S ribosomal RNA". It matches the Rfam family "Bacterial large subunit ribosomal RNA", at positions 2735 to 2925 of the family's 2925-position model. Lineage: Bacteria; Bacillati; Bacillota; Clostridia; Lachnospirales; Lachnospiraceae. The record is from RNAcentral.